RNAcentral lists this unclassified non-coding RNA (252 nucleotides) under uncultured fungus. RNAcentral's name for it is "partial contains 5.8S ribosomal RNA, internal transcribed spacer 2, and large subunit ribosomal RNA". The record is from RNAcentral. Lineage: Eukaryota; Fungi.
AACGCAUAUUGCGCCCUUUGGUAUUCUGAAGGGCAUGCCUGUUCGAGCGUCAUUAUCACCGUAUCAAGCUUGGCUUGUAGUUGGGCUCUUUGUCACCUGGUGACAGGCCCGAAAGACAAUGACCGGUGUCAUACAGACCCUGCAUGCAACGAGCUGACAACAGCACGCAUUUAGUGGUUAUAUGGCCUGGUUCCCGCCCCUUUAUUUCUCAAGGUUGACCUCGGAUCAGGUAGGAAUACCCGCUGAACUUAA